UACGUAGGGGGCAAGCGUUGUCCGGAAUUACUGGGCGUAAAGCGCACGUAGGCGGACUAUUAAGUCAGGGGUGAAAUCCCGGGGCUCAACCCCGGAACUGCCUUUGAUACUGGUAGUCUCGAGUCCGGAAGAGGUGAGUGGAAUUCCGAGUGUAGAGGUGAAAUUCGUAGAUAUUCGGAGGAACACCAGUGGCGAAGGCGGCUCACUGGUCCGGUACUGACGCUGAGGCGCGAAAGCGUGGGGAGCAAACAGG
RNAcentral lists this ribosomal RNA (253 nucleotides) under uncultured bacterium. Its description in RNAcentral is "partial 16S ribosomal RNA". It matches the Rfam family "Bacterial small subunit ribosomal RNA", at positions 524 to 776 of the family's 1533-position model. The record is from RNAcentral.